GUGCUCAUUCAGCAGCACAUAGAAAUUGGGAUGGUACAGAGAAGGUCAGCAUGGCCCCUGAACAAGGAUGACACAAAUUUGUGAAAUAUUCCAUAUUAUG
Molecule: small nuclear RNA, 100 nt
Filed under: Neotoma lepida (desert woodrat)
Lineage: Eukaryota; Metazoa; Chordata; Mammalia; Rodentia; Cricetidae
Source: RNAcentral